This 486-nucleotide ribosomal RNA is filed under the name uncultured bacterium. RNAcentral's name for it is "partial 16S ribosomal RNA". It matches the Rfam family "Bacterial small subunit ribosomal RNA", at positions 29 to 507 of the family's 1533-position model. The record is from RNAcentral.
AUUGAACGCUGGCGGCAUGCCUUACACAUGCAAGUCGAACGGCAGCACGGGUGCUUGCACCUGGUGGCGAGUGGCGAACGGGUGAGUAAUACAUCGGAACAUGUCCUGUAGUGGGGGAUAGCCCGGCGAAAGCCGGAUUAAUACCGCAUACGAUCUACGGAUGAAAGCGGGGGGCCUUCGGGCCUCGCGCUAUAGGGUUGGCCGAUGGCUGAUUAGCUAGUUGGGGGGGUAAAGGCCUACCAAGGCGACGAUCCGUAGCUGGUCUGAGAGGACGACCGGCCACACUGGGACUGAGACACGGCCCAGACUCCUACGGGAGGCAGCAGUGGGGAAUUUUGGACAAUGGGCGAAAGCCUGAUCCAGCAAUGCCGCGUGUGUGAAGAAGGCCUUCGGGUUGUAAAGCACUUUUGUCCGGAAAGAAAUCCUUGGCCCUAAUACGGUCGGGGGAUGACGGUACCGGAAGAAUAAGCACCGGCUAACUACGUG